This is a long non-coding RNA of Astatotilapia calliptera (eastern happy), 731 nucleotides long. NCBI's taxonomy places the organism in Eukaryota, Metazoa, Chordata, Actinopteri, Cichliformes, Cichlidae. The record is from Ensembl.
CUCUUCAUACAACAUGCCACAGUCACCCCAGCACUGCUCUCUAUGCUUCGAGGGCUUUCUGACUAACAUUCACACACAUCCAUACGACCAACUGGCCCAAGGAUAUUUGGCAUGCAGACAAGGGGAACCAGGGAUUGAACCACCAACCCUCCGAUCAGCAGAUGAUCUGACCAGAGGUGUCCGGAGUAAGGAGAGACUGAGAAGCUGAGAAGAGACGGAGGCUCUCCACCCCUGAUGAAGCACCAGCACAGAUCCAGGACAGUAUGUGAGGAAGAGGAGCCAGCAGAGGAGAACAGACAGCUGUUCUCUGUAAUUGAGGGACUGCAUGUCUUUAUCCUGUCUUCCUUCUCUCACCCCAACCGGUCGCAGCAGAUGGCCCCGCCCCUCCCUGAGCCUGGUUCUGCCGGAGGUUUCUUCCUGUUAAAAGGGAGUUUUUCCUUCCCACUGUCGCCAAAGUGCUGCUCAUAGGGGGUCAUAUGAUUGUUGGGUUUUUCUCUGUAUCUAUGAAGCGCCUUGAGGCGACUUUUGUUGUGAUUUGGCGCUAUAUAAAUAAUAUUGAAUUGAAUUGAAUUGUAAGAAUAUAAGCAAAAACCUGUACAGAGGAUUAUGUGUGUCCUGUUGGCACCUUCUAAACAUCACAGAGUAGCAUCAUCCUUACCACCAGCUGGGGGCAUUAGAUCGUAGAACUCUAAAAUCUCUUUCUUUCUUUCAAACAUUAAAAAUGACAAACC